GGUUCGAUUCUGGCUCAGAUUGAACGCUGGCGGGAUGCUUUACACAUGCAAGUCGAACGGCAGCACGGACUUCGGUCUGGUGGCGAGUGGCGAACGGGUGAGUAAUGUAUCGGAACGUGCCUAGUAGCGGGGGAUAACUACGCGAAAGCGUAGCUAAUACCGCAUACGCCCUUCGGGGAAAGCGGGGGACCUUCGGGCCUCGCACUAUUAGAGCAGCCGAUAUCGGAUUAGCUAGUUGGGCC
This 242-nucleotide unclassified non-coding RNA is filed under the name uncultured Bordetella sp. RNAcentral's name for it is "partial 16S-23S ribosomal RNA intergenic spacer". It matches the Rfam family "Bacterial small subunit ribosomal RNA", at positions 10 to 255 of the family's 1533-position model. The record is from RNAcentral. Lineage: Bacteria; Pseudomonadati; Pseudomonadota; Betaproteobacteria; Burkholderiales; Alcaligenaceae.